This 800-nucleotide ribosomal RNA is filed under the name unidentified microorganism. RNAcentral's name for it is "bacterial SSU rRNA". It matches the Rfam family "Bacterial small subunit ribosomal RNA", at positions 630 to 1427 of the family's 1533-position model. The record is from RNAcentral.
GUACGGGCAGACUAGAGUGCGGUAGGGGAGAUUGGAAUUCCUGGUGUAGCGGUGGAAUGCGCAGAUAUCAGGAGGAACACCGAUGGCGAAGGCAGAUCUCUGGGCCGUAACUGACGCUGAGGAGCGAAAGGGUGGGGAGCAAACAGGCUUAGAUACCCUGGUAGUCCACCCCGUAAACGUUGGGAACUAGUUGUGGGGUCCAUUCCACGGAUUCCGUGACGCAGCUAACGCAUUAAGUUCCCCGCCUGGGGAGUACGGCCGCAAGGCUAAAACUCAAAGGAAUUGACGGGGACCCGCACAAGCGGCGGAGCAUGCGGAUUAAUUCGAUGCAACGCGAAGAACCUUACCAAGGCUUGACAUAUACGAGAACGCUGCAGAAAUGUAGAACUCUUUGGACACUCGUAAACAGGUGGUGCAUGGUUGUCGUCAGCUCGUGUCGUGAGAUGUUGGGUUAAGUCCCGCAACGAGCGCAACCCUCGUUCUAUGUUGCCAGCACGUAAUGGUGGGAACUCAUGGGAUACUGCCGGGGUCAACUCGGAGGAAGGUGGGGAUGACGUCAAAUCAUCAUGCCCCUUAUGUCUUGGGCUUCACGCAUGCUACAAUGGCCGGUACAAAGGGCUGCAAUACCGUAAGGUGGAGCGAAUCCCAAAAAGCCGGUCCCAGUUCGGAUUGAGGUCUGCAACUCGACCUCAUGAAGUCGGAGUCGCUAGUAAUCGCAGAUCAGCAACGCUGCGGUGAAUACGUUCCCGGGUCUUGUACACACCGCCCGUCAANNCNNNAAAGUCGGUAACACCUGAAGC